Molecule: ribosomal RNA, 377 nt
Filed under: uncultured bacterium
Lineage: Bacteria
Description: bacterial SSU rRNA
Rfam family: Bacterial small subunit ribosomal RNA
Source: RNAcentral
UAAUACGUAGGGGGCGAGCGUUGUCCGGAAUUACUGGGCGUAAAGAGCACGUAGGCGGCUUGUUAAGAUGGGCGUGAAAUCUCCGGGCUCACCUCGGAGGGGUCGUCCGUGACUGGCAGGCUUGGGUCUGGGAGAGGCGAGUGGAAUUCCCGGUGGAGCGGUGAAAUGCGUAGAGAUCGGGAGGAACACCAGUGGCGUAGGCGACUCGCUGGGCCAGUACCGACGCUGAGGUGCGAAAGCGUGGGGAGCGAACCGGAUUAGAUACCCGGGUAGUCCACGCCCUAAACGAUGGGUACUAGGCGUGGGGGGUAUCGACCCCCUCCGUGCCGGAGCUAACGCGCGAAGUACCCCGCCUGGGGAGUACGGCCGCAAGGUUG